CCUACGGGGGGCAGCAGUGGGGAAUAUUGCACAAUGGGCGAAAGCCUGAUGCAGCAACGCCGCGUGAAGGAAGAAGGGUUUCGGCUCGUAAACUUCUAUCAACCGGGACGAAAGAAAUGACGGUACCUGAAUAAGAAGCCCCGGCUAACUACGUGCCAGCAGCCGCGGUAAUACGUAGGGGGCAAGCUUUAUCCGGAAUUACUGGGUGUAAAGGGUGAGUAGGCGGCAAGGUAAGCCAGAUGUGAAAGCCUUGGGCCUAACCCGAGGAUUGCAGUUGGAACUAUCAGGCUAGAGUGCAGGAGAGGAAUGCGGAAUUCGUGGUGUAGCGGUGAAAUGCGUAGAUAUUAGGAAGAACACCGGUGGCGAAGGCGGCAUUCUGGACUGAAACUGACGCUGAGGCACGAAAGCGUGGGGAGCGAACAGGAUUAGAUACCCGAGUAGUC
Molecule: ribosomal RNA, 443 nt
Filed under: uncultured bacterium
Lineage: Bacteria
Description: partial 16S ribosomal RNA
Rfam family: Bacterial small subunit ribosomal RNA
Source: RNAcentral